UAGGGAAUCUUCCGCAAUGGACGAAAGUCUGACGGAGCAACGCCGCGUGAGUGAUGAAGGUUUUCGGAUCGUAAAACUCUGUUGUUAGGGAAGAACAAGUAUCGGAGUAACUGUCGGUACCUUGACGGUACCUAACCAGAAAGCCACGGCUAACUACGUGCCAGCAGCCGCGGUAAUACGUAGGUGGCAAGCGUUGUCCGGAAUUAUUGGGCGUAAAGCGCGCGCAGGUGGUUCCUUAAGUCUGAUGUGAAAGCCCACGGCUCAACCGUGGAGGGUCAUUGGAAACUGGGGAACUUGGGUGCAGAAGAGGAAAGUGGAAUUCCAAGUGUAGCGGUGAAAUGCGUAGAGAUUUGGAGGAACACCAGUGGCGAAGGCGACUUUCUGGUCUGUAACUGACACUGAGGCGCGAAAGCGUGGGGAGCGAACAGG
RNAcentral lists this ribosomal RNA (429 nucleotides) under Bacillota bacterium. RNAcentral's name for it is "Firmicutes bacterium partial 16S ribosomal RNA". It matches the Rfam family "Bacterial small subunit ribosomal RNA", at positions 355 to 776 of the family's 1533-position model. The record is from RNAcentral. Lineage: Bacteria; Bacillati; Bacillota.